Molecule: ribosomal RNA, 492 nt
Filed under: uncultured bacterium
Lineage: Bacteria
Description: partial 16S ribosomal RNA
Rfam family: Bacterial small subunit ribosomal RNA
Source: RNAcentral
AGUGAACGCUGGCGGUAGGCCUAACACAUGCAAGUCGAACGGCAGCACAGUAAGAGCUUGCUCUUACGGGUGGCGAGUGGCGGACGGGUGAGGAAUACAUCGGAAUCUACUUUUUCGUGGGGGAUAACGUAGGGAAACUUACGCUAAUACCGCAUACGACCUACGGGUGAAAGCAGGGGAUCUUCGGACCUUGCGCGAUUGAAUGAGCCGAUGUCGGAUUAGCUAGUUGGCGGGGUAAAGGCCCACCAAGGCGACGAUCCGUAGCUGGUCUGAGAGGAUGAUCAGCCACACUGGAACUGAGACACGGUCCAGACUCCUACGGGAGGCAGCAGUGGGGAAUAUUGGACAAUGGGCGCAAGCCUGAUCCAGCCAUGCCGCGUGGGUGAAGAAGGCCUUCGGGUUGUAAAGCCCUUUUGUUGGGAAAGAAAAACAGCGGGUUAAUACCCCGCUGUUCUGACGGUACCCAAAGAAUAAGCACCGGCUAACUUCGUG